RNAcentral lists this ribosomal RNA (374 nucleotides) under uncultured bacterium. RNAcentral describes it as "bacterial SSU rRNA". It matches the Rfam family "Bacterial small subunit ribosomal RNA", at positions 525 to 896 of the family's 1533-position model. The record is from RNAcentral.
ACGUAGGGUCCAAGCGUUAUCCGGAAUUACUGGGCGUAAAGCGUCUGUAGGCGGCUAAUUAAGUCAGGUGCGAAAUCUUGCGGCUCAACCGUAUAGACUGUGCUUGAAACUGAUUAGCUAGAGGUAGGUAGAGGCAAGUGGAAUUUCUGGUGUAGGAGUGACAUCCGUAGAUAUCAGAAGGAACACCAAUGGCGAAGGCAGCUUGCUGGGCCUUACCUGACGCUCAGAGACGAAAGCGUGGGGAGCGAACGGGAUUAGAUACCCCGGUAGUCCACGCCGUAAACGAUGAUCACUAGUAGUAUGAAGAUUCGACCCUUUGUGCUACGAAGCUAACGCGAUAAGUGAUCCGCCUGGGGAGUACGAGCGCAAGCUUA